RNAcentral lists this ribosomal RNA (333 nucleotides) under Triticum aestivum (bread wheat). Its description in RNAcentral is "partial small subunit ribosomal RNA". Lineage: Eukaryota; Viridiplantae; Streptophyta; Magnoliopsida; Poales; Poaceae. The record is from RNAcentral.
AUGCAUAGCCACAUGUUCAAGGGCGUUGAUGAGGACAUCAAUACCAUUGUUACACCCACAACCCCUACUGCUACAUAUACUGGAUCAAUUACUAGAGCUCGCGCACGCCAAUUAAAUUAUCAGGUACUUCCGUUUCUUGGUAAUGAUUCUAAUGUUCAUGAGAAUAUAAUGUUGCCUAAAUUGGAUAGAUUUCUUUUGCUUACAAACGAAGGGCCUGGCAUGGAUAAGAGGGAUGAACACUGGAGCAAGACCAAGCAUGAAGAUGAUGGCAUGCACAAGGGGAACAAGAACGGAGUUGCAAGUGAUGAUUUCAGGACUUUGAAACCACCAUAA